CAAGAUGUUUCUGGAAGAAGCACAGAGCCUAUACAGCAUUUCUUACCUGUAGGAGCAUUUUGGGAGGAGGGGUUCAGACACUUCGUAAUACUGAGAAUGCAUCUUCUUUGAACUAUGUGCAAUGAAACAGAAAUCUUCCUUCUCGUUGAACACAGAACUAGAUUUGUAGCCUGGCAAUUGAGAGAAGUCUGGCACACGGUGGUUUCAGUGGUUACUGUGAGUCUCACAGUAGUCUGCUUUCAGAACCUUGGAGAAGCCAUGGAGGAACAGUAAGUUCCAAUAGAUAAAAGAAAAAACUGUGACACUUUUCCUGACACUGUGAUAAGAAUACAGUUGAGAUCCACAAAGCUCAGUGAGCUGGAGAGCUGACAGGUUUGAACUGAAGAUCUUUGAGCACACAGCUACUGAGCACUGCCACCAGAGACCAAGGAAGCUGCAGCCCUGCAUGGGACUCCACCAGAGAGGGUGAAAGGAUCAUGCAAAGAAAAUGGACCAAACCACAUGACCUCCAGGUACCAAGAGUGAUGCUCCAUGUUCCCAACAGUUCCCAAAGUGAGCGCACCCAAAACUACAAAGAGGCCUAGAGCAGAAUGAGCCCCCAAACCAAUGAAACAAGUAAAAGGUAACCACCAGAGGACAACUUACAGUACAUCCUGCAAGGAAGAGCACCCCUCCUUGUGAUGGUUCUAUUCCAACUAUCUGAGCAGAGGGCAGGAGCGGAAGAAGGAACAACGUAACAAAAAGGGUUCAGCUCAGCAAAGAAGCAAGACUUAAAAUAAACUGACCCUGCUAAAACACAGCCCUCAUAUGACAGAGUAUAACUCAGUAGGUUGGGA
RNAcentral lists this long non-coding RNA (836 nucleotides) under Gallus gallus (chicken). Its description in RNAcentral is "long non-coding RNA NONGGAT003742". Lineage: Eukaryota; Metazoa; Chordata; Aves; Galliformes; Phasianidae. The record is from RNAcentral.